This 911-nucleotide ribosomal RNA is filed under the name Burgoa moriformis. RNAcentral describes it as "eukaryotic LSU rRNA". It matches the Rfam family "Eukaryotic large subunit ribosomal RNA", at positions 40 to 962 of the family's 3401-position model. The record is from RNAcentral. Lineage: Eukaryota; Fungi; Basidiomycota; Agaricomycetes; Cantharellales; Hydnaceae.
AUAUCAAUAAGCGGAGGAAAAGAAACUAACAAGGAUUCCCCUAGUAACGGCGAGUGAAGCGGGAUGAGCUCAAAUUUAAAAUCUGGUGUCUUUCAGUCGCCCGAGUUGUAAUCUAGAGACGUGUUUUCUGUGCUGGGCCUAUUGUAAGUUACCUUGAACGGUACAUCAUAGAGGGUGAGAAUCCCGUCUACAAAAGGACUGCCAGUGCUCUGUGAUGCGCGCUCAACGAGUCGAGUUGUUUGGGAAUGCAGCUCAAAUUGGGAGGUAAAUUCCUUCUAAAGCUAAAUACAUUGGAAUGACCGAUAGCGAACAAGUACCGUGAGGGAAAGAUGAAAAGCACUUUGGAAAGAGAGUUAAACAGUACGUGAAAUUGUUGGUAGGGAAACGCUUGAAGUCAGUCGCGUCUUCUUGGACUCAGCCUUGCUUCUGCUUGGUGCAUUUCCUAGUUGACGGGUCAGCGUUCAUUUCGAUCGUUGGAAAAGAGCAGAUUGAAUGUGGCAGUUUCGGCUGUGUUAUAGCUUUCUGUUGUAUACAUCGGUUGGGAUGGAUCUUACAGCAUGCUUUUAGUGGUGCUUUUGCUGACGAAAUGCCUUUAAACGACCCGUCUUGAAACACGGACCAAGGAGUCUAUCAUACCUGCGAGUCUUUGGGUGGUAAACCCAUGGGCGAAAUGAAAGUGAUAGUCGGGAAUCUUUCUUUAGAGGCACCGACGCCCGCCGCUGAAGUUUACGGACGCUGGCGAGGUAGAGCAUGUAUGAUGGGACCCGAAAGAUGGUGAACUAUGCCUGCAUAGGGUGAAGCCAGGGGAAACUCUGGUGGAGGCUCGUAGCGAUUCUGACGUGCAAAUCGAUCGUCAAAUGUGGGUAUAGGGGCGAAAGACUAAUCGAACCAUCUAAUGGCUGGUUCCUGCC